Molecule: long non-coding RNA, 212 nt
Filed under: Mytilus galloprovincialis (Mediterranean mussel)
Lineage: Eukaryota; Metazoa; Mollusca; Bivalvia; Mytilida; Mytilidae
Source: RNAcentral
CGCUUGAGAUGGAAAAUUAUCACCAGAAACUAAGCAGGCACGUGGCGUUGCUAACGAAAUUGACAUGAAAUUGACAACGUCGUCAUAGGUAAAAUAGCGAUAAAUAGAUUAUCAUUGGUCAUCUCAACUCGAUUGCCUUUCUCGCUUUCGCCGUCCCGGCUCAAGCGAGAAAAUCAAUCUCGUUGAGAUGAUCAACGAUAAUCUAUAAGUAU